GGGUUGUGAGGUUAAGCGACUAAGCGUACACGGUGGAUGCCCUGGCAGUCAGAGGCGAUGAAGGGCGUGCUAAUCUGCGAUAAGCGCCGGUAAGGUGAUAUGAACCGUUAUAACCGGCGAUACCCGAAUGGGGAAACCCAGUGUGAUUCGUCACACUAUCAUUAACUGAAUCCAUAGGUUAAUGAGGCGAACCGGGGGAACUGAAACAUCUAAGUACCCCGAGGAAAAGAAAUCAACCGAGAUUCCCCCAGUAGCGGCGAGCGAACGGGGAGGAGCCCAGAGCCUGAAUCAGCAUGUGUGUUAGUGGAAGCGUCUGGAAAGGCGCGCGAUACAGGGUGACAGCCCCGUACACAAAAGCGCAUAUGCUGUGAGCUCGAUGAGUAGGGCGGGACACGUGGUAUCCUGUCUGAAUAUGGGGGGACCAUCCUCCAAGGCUAAAUACUCCUGACUGACCGAUAGUGAACCAGUACCGUGAGGGAAAGGCGAAAAGAACCCCGGCGAGGGGAGUGAAAAAGAACCUGAAACCGUGUACGUACAAGCAGUGGGAGCCCCACCACUAAGCCAGUGGUGAACUCCACAUACGCAUCCUUUGCUGAGGAUACGGUUAACGGAGCGAAAGCGACGUUCAACCUCAAAAGAAGCAGAGGGGGCUUAGUGGUGGGGUGACUGCGUACCUUUUGUAUAAUGGGUCAGCGACUUAUAUUCUGUAGCAAGGUUAACCGAAUAGGGGAGCCGGAGGGAAACCGAGUCUUAAU
RNAcentral lists this ribosomal RNA (755 nucleotides) under Salmonella enterica. Its description in RNAcentral is "partial 23S ribosomal RNA". It matches the Rfam family "Bacterial large subunit ribosomal RNA", at positions 1 to 688 of the family's 2925-position model. The record is from RNAcentral. Lineage: Bacteria; Pseudomonadati; Pseudomonadota; Gammaproteobacteria; Enterobacterales; Enterobacteriaceae.